Molecule: ribosomal RNA, 253 nt
Filed under: uncultured bacterium
Lineage: Bacteria
Description: partial 16S ribosomal RNA
Rfam family: Bacterial small subunit ribosomal RNA
Source: RNAcentral
UACAGAGGGGGCAAGCGUUGUCCGGAAUUAUUGGGCGUAAAGAGCUCGUAGGCGGCUUGUCACGUCGGGUGUGAAAGCCCGGGGCUUAACCCCGGGUCUGCAUUCGAUACGGGCUGGCUAGAGUGUGGUAGGGGAGAUCGGAAUUCCUGGUGUAGCGGUGAAAUGCGCAGAUAUCAGGAGGAACACCGGUGGCGAAGGCGGAUCUCUGGGCCAUUACUGACGCUGAGGAGCGAAAGCGUGGGGAGCGAACAGG